RNAcentral lists this non-coding RNA (171 nucleotides) under Terrisporobacter glycolicus. RNAcentral describes it as "Lysine riboswitch". It matches the Rfam family "Lysine riboswitch aptamer". Rfam says of the family: Riboswitches are metabolite binding domains within certain messenger RNAs that serve as precision sensors for their corresponding targets. Allosteric rearrangement of mRNA structure is mediated by ligand binding, and this results in modulation of gene expression. The record is from RNAcentral. Lineage: Bacteria; Bacillati; Bacillota; Clostridia; Peptostreptococcales; Peptostreptococcaceae.
AAAGAUAGAGGUGCGGUAAUUAAUAGUACUAGUAAUGAGUAAAAGCAGGAGGAUUUACUAAGAAAGGAAGUAUCGCCGAAGUUGUAUAAUUGAAGCUGAAAGGUUGUACGGCUGGGGAUGCAGAGAAUAUCUGUAUCACUGUCACAAAUUAUUUUGUGGUGAGCUAUCAUU